Molecule: ribosomal RNA, 471 nt
Filed under: uncultured bacterium
Lineage: Bacteria
Description: bacterial SSU rRNA
Rfam family: Bacterial small subunit ribosomal RNA
Source: RNAcentral
GGCGUGCUUAAUACAUGCAAGUCGAACGGGAGUAAAUUGGGAGCUUGCUUUGAUUUAUCUAGUGGCGGACGGGUGGAGUAACGCGUGGGUAACCGUGCCUCAUACAGGGGGAGUAACAGUUAGAAAUGACUGCUAAAACCGCAUAACAUGAUGGAACCGCAUGAUUUCAUCAUCAAAUAUUUAUAGGUAUGAGAUGGGCCCGCGUCUGAUUAGCUAGUUGGUGAGAUAACAGCCCACCAAGGCGACGAUCAGUAGCCGUACUGAGAGGUAGAACGGCCACAUUGGGACUGAGACACGGCCCAAACUCCUACGGGAGGCAGCAGUAGGGAAUAUUGGACAAUGGGGGGAACCCUGAUCCAGCGAACCGCCGCGUGAGUGAAGAAGUUAUUCGUAAUGUAAAGCUCUAUCAGCAGGGACGAUAAUGACGGUACCUGACUAAGAAGCACCGGCUAAAUACGUGCCAGCCGCAGC